Molecule: ribosomal RNA, 475 nt
Filed under: uncultured bacterium
Lineage: Bacteria
Description: bacterial SSU rRNA
Rfam family: Bacterial small subunit ribosomal RNA
Source: RNAcentral
CGAACGCUGGCGGCGUGCUAACACAUGCAAGUCGAGCGAUGAAGCUCCUUCGGGAGUGGAUUAGCGGCGGACGGGUGAGUAACACGUGGGUAACCUGCCUCAUAGAGGGGAAUAGCCUUUCGAAAGGAAGAUUAAUACCGCAUAAGAUUGUAGUACCGCAUGGUACAGCAAUUAAAGGAGUAAUCCGCUAUGAGAUGGACCCGCGUCGCAUUAGCUAGUUGGUGGGGUAACGGCUCACCAAGGCGACGAUGCGUAGCCGACCUGAGAGGGUGAUCGGCCACAUUGGGACUGAGACACGGCCCAGACUCCUACGGGAGGCAGCAGUGGGGAAUAUUGCACAAUGGGGGGAAAAACCCCCUGAUGCAGCAACGCCGCGUGAGUGAUGACGGCCUUCGGGUUGUAAAACUCUGUCUUUGGGGACGAUAAUGACGGUACCCAAGGAGGAAGCCACGGCUAACUACGUGCCAGCCGCGGC